CAAAGCCAAGGCUCAUUGAGCUGACUUUCUAGGAUUUUUAGACUUUAGAAUAGGAAUACUUGAAAAAGACUGUAGCUCCAGUUUGUGAUUCAUGAAAUAAAGUGAACCUUUGAUAGCAAUAUUUGUGUUGAAAAAGUGCGAUUGCAUGUUGCGAAUGAUGUGUAGAAAGUGACCCGAGUUUUUGACAAAGUGCUGACAUUUUCGGGUUCGUUCGAUGUACAUUGGAGUCGUGCAGUUUGACAGUAUCAUGCGGAAAAUGUAGUUUUGGAUUCGAAUCGACCUAGACGAUCAGAGAUUGGAAGUGGGAGGUCGGAUGGUAGCUGGAAGUGUGAAAAAUAUGAUUCGCUGAAACGUCAAGCCCGCGGGCGCGUGAGAGCUUCGUCUUGUGCGACUCGCCAUAUUGGUUCAAAAGUAUUGUGUCAGUGAGGUUCCUGAGUGUUCUUGAGACACGGCAUUUCUGUGAAUGAACGCGCAACAAAAAGGAUUGAGAAUGGAGGAGACGAAGAUCAUUUAUCAUAUCGACGACGAGGAGACGCCCUAUUUGGUCAAGUUGAACAUCGUCCCCGAGAGGGUUACUCUUGCCGAUUUCAAAUCAAGCCUCAAUCGGCCGAACUACAAGUAUUUCUUCAAAUCGAUGGACGAUGAUUUCGGGGUCGUUAAAGAAGAAAUUGUGGAUGACGAUGCGCACCUUCCUUGUUUCAAUGGACGUGUUGUCUCUUGGUUGGUAUCUGCUGAAGGAAGUAAUGUAUCAGACGGUGCUUCCCAGUGCACAGACUCAGUAGCACAUGGCGAACCAAAACAUGAUCGUGUUGAUCAUGUUGCCCCGGGUCUCACAACCCGAGGUCCUCUGCCUCUUUCACACGACGAUACGCUCACAGAAACAGAGAGUAUUAUAAGUAGUCGACAAGGGCAUCAUUUACACAAAACCUCUAGACACCAUGCAGAUAAAUACGAAAAAUAUAACAAAUAUAAUGGACUUCGCAUAAAUGGUCAUUCCAAGCAUCGUUCGGGUCACGGUUACGAAAGCGCUUCGAUCCUUAGCUCUGACUUGGAAACAUCAACUUUUUUGGAAUCAGAUGAUGACGCAAGUAGUCGUAUCACAUCGACAACAGGAGGAAGACACACUAAUAUGAGUAGUACAAUCGACCGAGCAACUUUAGAUCGACGCAGACCUCAAAGACGACGUCGUCACAGACUCCCACCUAUGUCGAGAGCAUCCUCAAUCAGCAGUAUUACAGACAGCACAAUGUCUUUGAAUAUUAUAACAGUUUCCCUGAACAUGGACACAGUUAAUUUCCUCGGGAUCAGUAUCGUUGGUCAGAGCAAUAAAGGCGGAGACGGCGGCAUCUAUGUCGGCUCAAUAAUGAAAGGUGGAGCCGUUGCCUUGGAUGGCCGAAUAGAACCUGGCGAUAUGAUCCUUCAAGUAAAUGAUAUAAAUUUCGAAAACAUGUCCAACGAUGAGGCUGUUAGGGUGCUGAGAGAAGUGGUCCAAAAACCAGGGCCAAUUAAGUUAGUGGUUGCUAAGUGUUGGGAUCCGAAUCCAAAGGGCUAUUUCACUAUCCCAAGAACUGAACCUGUUCGACCAAUUGAUCCUGGUGCUUGGGUCGCUCACACUGCUGCCAUAAGGGGCGAGGGUUUUCCACCUCGACCUCCUAGUGCUACAACAUUGACUUCCACAUCCAGUAGUCUUGCGAGCACACUACCAGAUACUGAGCAAGACCUUCACUUAACCAUAAACACGGAUAUGCCGACCAUAGUGCGUGCGAUGGCCCGACCGGAUUCAGGAUUAGAGAUUCGGGAUCGAAUGUGGCUGAAGAUUACAAUUCCAAACGCAUUUAUCGGGGCGGAUGUCGUCGACUGGCUCAACAGUCGCGUUGAGGGUUUUAUAGAUCGACGCGAUGCUAGGAAGUAUGCCUCGUUGAUGCUGAAGGCAGGCUUCAUUAGGCACACAGUGAAUAAAAUCACAUUUUCGGAACAGUGUUACUACAUAUUUGGGGAUUUGUGUUCAGCCAUGAACAAUAUGAAACUCGACUGUGACACGGUCGGUCCUUUGCCACCGCCUAGUGCUUGGGACAUGCCUUAUUCAGGAACUUACGCUCCACAUUCGGCAACAGGGUACAGUCCGAUGCCAUUUAACUUUACGAGUGAACCCACGGUUUAUGGAUAUCAUCGGGAAGAAAGCAUUCACAGUGGAUCAGGUUGGUCGCAGGGCAGGGAAAACCUGGAAAUCAGGGAAACUUCAUGGAAUUUUAUCGGUGGCAGUAGUGCAGGCAGCGAACAUAUUUGUAAGGAACCAAUUCACGACGUGAAAUCCUGUUCGUCAGCUUCCGAAUCCGAGCUUCACAUGCCGUCGGUGCCAGCCAUGCCAAAGCAGAAUUCAGGUAAUGGGAAUGGUUCUAAUGGAAAGAGAUCUAACGGUAGUCGCAGUCGAUCGAGUGGGUCCGAGCAGUCAGUGCAGACAGGAACUGGUUCUGGGAAUCAGCAAAACCAGCAAGAUCUAUCUGGAUUAUCUACGACAAUGGGACAGCUAUUUCUUUAAAAAGUCUUCAAGAUAUUUAUCAAGUAUCGAACGAACGAUUCGUCAACUCCGAUAGUAAGGAAGAUUACGUUUACGCAGCCACGAUAUUCCUAUUCUCGUUACUUGAACUUAAAAGUUAAUGACCCUCGUACAUCCGUUCGUUGUUCAUUCACCUGAUGAAUCGUUCGAAGGAUAGAAUUUCAACUGUGGCGAAUCAGAGUGUUUACAGGAAUCGACAUGUAAAUACUAACAUAAUGUACCGAUAUUGAAUGUGCCAUCUAAGCAUUUUUUGCCUAAAACCGAACAAAAUUAAUGUACGCUGUCGGAAUGGUAAAUGCAUUUUUUUACUCAUUUUUUAUCGUAAGCUCUGUGCACGAACUCGUGGAUCAUCAAAAAGGAAAUAGCAGUUAUUUUCCUGUUAGACUAAGGUAAGUCAAAUACCGUUUGACGAAAUACGUACAACUUAGCGGUGUAUGGCCAAUUGUAUUUUAAUCUUGACAUAUUCUUUACUGUUUAUUUUAUACGCGUAUAAGUAUAAUACUGUUUUUAAAUUUAUAUUAUUAUUAUUAUUAUUAUUAUUUCUUGCGAAUAAAAGAAUUUUAAGUCAGAGAAAUUAUAUUCGUUAGACAUGUGCGAAACAUUCAGUCUCGAAAUUCUCUGAAUUUUGGUCAAAAAAAAUCUGCAGAUGUCCUAAAUUAUUCCUAGAUUAUUUUUUUCGGUAUUUGCGGUGAUUUUAUCAUUUGUACAGCAAUAUUUUCUUAUUGUAUAUUAUAAUUUAUUUUAUUUAAAGGAAAUUUUUUUAUAACUUUUAUUGUAUAAUAGAAUUCUUUGAUAUUAUUUUGAGGCCAAUAGGAUUUUCAGAGAAUGUUUUUGACUGAAUUUCAUUUAGUUAUCUUGACUAAUUCGCACAUAAAUUUUGCUAACGUCGCACAGACUAUUAAAUUAACAAAAAGAAGAAAAAAAAGUCGAGAAUGCAGUGCUCGAUGUAUUUCGUAUACGUGAAAUUUAACUGGGACAAAAAUAUAAUCAGUGUAUUUGUCUGCGCGCAGAAAUAAUGUAGUUGUUAGGUCGUGUACGAUUGUCAAUCUCUUCGUGCGACCAGUUGUAACCGAACAAAAGUACGAAAAUCGAAAUUUUAGAGAUAAAAAAGCGAACUAGGAAUCUUGCAGAAAUUUGUGAUAUUUGAGUACAGUCGCAGUUUUUUACGGACAUAUACAGGUAUAAGUUUUUCGGUAGCGACAAACUUUUCUAAAAGAAAUGCAUAGAUUUGUAGAAAAGUGCAGCAGUGUUAAAAGGAACUCUUGAAUUUUUAUACCCAAUCAAUUUUUUUUUAAUAAUCAAAGUUUUGAUUCUUUUAUUUCUUAUUCUCAGGGCUCGGAUUGUGCGACUUUUUUUUUUUAGCUUUUUUGCCUUUUUAGAAAAAUUUUAUCCGUUUUUCCCAGCAGUUUGCUAUACUUAGUUUGAAUUCUAAUUAGGAUGAAACUUUUAACAUUGAAAUUCAAAACUAAAUAAACGGUAGCAUUUUCAAUGAAAAUAUUAAAAAUUGAAUAAUUUCUUAUUAAAGCUUUAUACUUGAAACAAUUUUAAUUAAUAGCGUUCGAAAUUAAGCCAUAAUUCCGUGAAUCCGUAUGAAAACUCUUAAUUUUGUUUUAAAUGGAUAUUUUUAAGUCUAAAAAGUUUUAAAUCGAUUUACCAUAUUUCGAAUUCCUCCUUAUCCUUUUUUUUUUAAGAAUUCCUCUUUUUCCUUCUGUUUUAAACAAACUUCCAACUAUCUUUGGUAGAA
This is an RNA transcript of Belonocnema kinseyi, 4301 nucleotides long. It is a transcript of the gene named segment polarity protein dishevelled homolog DVL-3, with no coding region annotated. The record is from RefSeq and is a predicted model, not a curated record. NCBI's taxonomy places the organism in Eukaryota, Metazoa, Arthropoda, Insecta, Hymenoptera, Cynipidae. The transcript has 12 exons.